AACACAGGAAAAAGCUGCCAGCUGUAGAACUGUUUUUAAUUAAAACUGUGUUCGACAUGCUUGCUGCAGAGUUUCCUUAUUU
RNAcentral lists this microRNA precursor (82 nucleotides) under Mus pahari (shrew mouse). RNAcentral's name for it is "microRNA 3966 (MGP_PahariEiJ_G0007801.1)". The record is from RNAcentral. Lineage: Eukaryota; Metazoa; Chordata; Mammalia; Rodentia; Muridae.